GUGCUCGCUUCAGCAGCACAUAUACUAAAAUUGGAGCAACACAGAGAUUAGCAUGGCAUUUGCACAAGGAUGACAUGCAAAGAGUAGACAAGAGAUAUAUAACC
Molecule: small nuclear RNA, 104 nt
Organism: Ochotona curzoniae (black-lipped pika)
Lineage: Eukaryota; Metazoa; Chordata; Mammalia; Lagomorpha; Ochotonidae
Source: RefSeq, a predicted model, not a curated record